UGAAGAAAUUGGUGUCCUUCCAGAUUCUUGGACACUUCAGAUGACUCCUACUGGACAUUCUCAGGUAGACCAGCAACAGAAACUGUUCCGCACUGUCAUUGAGCUAAGUAAGGGAUCUGACGUAUUUGACUUGGAAAAAGUAUAUGGCACGAUUAAUCAAUGUAUUUAGAAAGAUUGGGAAGACUAUGACAGAAGGGAUUUGGUGGAGGAAAGAAGCAUCUCCUUGGAGGACCCAAAACCCUCCCUGGAGAACAGGAACAUCA
Long non-coding RNA from Oxyura jamaicensis (ruddy duck), 263 nucleotides. RefSeq lists it as uncharacterized. The record is from RefSeq and is a predicted model, not a curated record. The transcript has 3 exons. NCBI's taxonomy places the organism in Eukaryota, Metazoa, Chordata, Aves, Anseriformes, Anatidae.